Molecule: long non-coding RNA, 1470 nt
Organism: Argiope bruennichi
Lineage: Eukaryota; Metazoa; Arthropoda; Arachnida; Araneae; Araneidae
Exons: 4
Source: RefSeq, a predicted model, not a curated record
UCUCUUUCCCACCGUUUUAUAGUAGCCAUAAAAAUGUCUAGUCAGCACUCCAUUGUAACCUUCGCAAGCGUUUUAUGGCCUAAGGCGAAGUGGGACUUGAGCAGAGCUCGGACAAAAUUAUGGCCGUGCGGAAAGUUUUAUAGGCCGGGUUUUAUGGUCGAAAGGGAGGGGUAAAACGCACUUUGACAGCAAACUGGCCUCGAAUAUUUACGGCUAUCCGGGAGUCUUGAAAAGCGAUGCCCGCUCCUGGAGCGCUCUCAGACGGGGUGAGCCAUCCCCACUAGUCGGACCAGAUGGUCUACGGCGCCCAAAACGACAAAAUCUCGUUUCGUUUUUCCGUACAACAAAAGGAGUAACAUCUGGAUUGGAUUCUCGACUACAUUAUCUACGGAGGAAUAGUUAAGUGAUUCUACAGAUUAGUUUUUUCCCCCCACCCCUCCCCAUCGGUUUGGAUCGUACAGCGGAAUUGGAAACCCGACAGGCUCAUAAGUGACUGAUGAUUUCUCCCCUUUCAAUGAAUUUUUGAGAAGCCAUAGUUCCGUUACUUUCUUAAGAAGAAUAUGAGAAGAGAAUGAGAGUUCAUUAGCGAUAACUGCGCCGUCGACCACCAACGGUUCGGCUAAAGCUCUCGGCGGCAUGCUGCUUUAGCUGAUCGGUGGCGAUGACGCUAACUAAUCUCGCGACUAUUAGGAUUCAUUCAUGAUGAUUGAAAUUGUUUACUGUAGAAUAGAUCAUGAAGGUAUGGUACAGAAAUAAGAAAUUGAGCUUUAAAAAUAUAUGUUAAAAUAGUGUUUAAAAUAAUACAUAAACUUCGUUACUGCCGGCGAUUAGGCUUAGCAGACGACGAAAAGUUCGCGAUCAUCGCUAAGCUGGAUUGCAUUUGGAAAACACAGAGAUCAAUCUGUCUACAAUGUGUAACAGAUGAAUCCAUUUGCAGUGGAAGUCAAGUUAUUAAAUUAACAUAACCAAAUAAAGUGAUUUCAACAAGAAAGUUCAAAGUCCUCGAAAUGUCUCCCGUUCCUACAUUAAGGUUCAGGCAUUAAGUCGUACCUUUACAAUAUCGUUUUAUAAAGGAUUUCAAGGAUUCCAUUUGUCACCAGACAGUUGAAGUCUAAAUCUUUCUUACCGAGAAUUCAAAAGAUCAAGUCUAUAUCAGUUUGAAGAUUGGAAGUCUGAGCAUUAUUCAAAGUUACCUUUACAUAACUAUUCGAGAGUGGAAUUGGGGUUUCUAAAAUCUAAAAUGAAACAAAUAAAAUGUUCUUAGUAUUAAAAAAAGUAAUAAUUUCAAUUAAAAGCUAAGAAUAAGAACAAAAGGAGUGGAAGAGGGAGUCUAUAUAAACAGAAGAAAUAGUCUUUACACAUUUUUCUGACAAUCAUUUUUUCCUAUUUUGUGUAAUAAAAGCAUAAAAGUAAUGUUUUUUUAUUUUGUUUCAGUUUAUCAUUAAUUAAGGAUUGUUAUAAAAGAAUCAA